ACGGCUCAGUAACRCGUAGUCAAUCUGCCCUAUGGACGUGGAUAACCUCGGGAAACUGAGAAUAAUCCGCGAUAGAUCAUAAUGCCUGGAACGGUUUAUGGUCCAAAUGAUUCGUCGCCAUAGGAUGGGACUGCGGCCUAUCAGCUUGUUGGUGAGGUAAUGGCCCACCAAGGCUAUUACAGGUACGGGCUCUGAGAGGAGAAGCCCGGAGAUGGGUACUGAGACACGGACCCAGGCCCUAUGGGGCGCAGCAGGCGAGAAACCUUUGCAAUGUGCGCAAGCACGACAAGGUUAAUCCGAGUGUUUCCUGCUAAAGGAAUCUUUUGUUAGUUCUAAAACCACUGAUGAAUAAGGGGUGGGCAAGUUCUGGUGUCAGCCGCCGCGGUAAAACCAGCACCUCAAGUGGUCAGGAGGAUUAUUGGGCCUAAAGCAUCCGUAGCCGGUUCUGUAAGUUUCCGGUUAAAUCCACUAGCUCAACUAAUGGGCUGCCGGAAAUACUGCAGAACUAGGGAGUGGGAGAGGUAGACGGUACUCGGGAGGAAGGGGUAAAAUCCUUUGAUCUCUUGAUGACCACCUGUGGCGAAGGCGGUCUACCAGAACACGUUCGACGGUGAGGGAUGAAAGCUGGGGGAGCAAACCGGAUUAGAUACCCGGGUAGUCCCAGCUGUAAACGAUGCAGACUCGGUGAUGCACUGGCUUUCGGCCAGUGCAGUGCCGCAGGGAAGCCGUUAAGUUUGCCGCCUGGGAAGUACGUACGCAAGUAUGAAACUUAAAGGAAUUGGCGGGGGAGCAC
Molecule: ribosomal RNA, 793 nt
Filed under: uncultured archaeon
Lineage: Archaea
Description: bacterial SSU rRNA
Rfam family: Archaeal small subunit ribosomal RNA
Source: RNAcentral